GACGAACGCUGGCGGCGUGCUUAACACAUGCAAGUCGAACGGAAAGGCCCUGCGUGUUUGGGGUUCUCGAGUGGCGAACGGGUGAGGAACACGUGAGUAACCUGCCCUUGACUUUGGGAUAACUUCAGGAAACUGGGGCUAAUACCGUAUAGGAGCUCCUGCUGCAUGGUGGGGGUGGGAAAGUUUCGGCGGGUGGGGAUGGACUCGCGGCUGAUCAGCUUGUUGGUUGGGGAGUGGCUUACCAAGGCUUUGACGGGUAGCCGGCCUGAGAGGGUGACCGGCCACAUUGGUCCUGAGAUACGGACCAGACUCCUACGGGAGGCAGCAGUGGGGAAUCUUGCACAAUGGGCGGAAGCCUGUUGCAGAAACGCCGCGUGCGGGAUGACGGUCUUCGGGUUGUAAAAAGCUUUCGCCUAUGACGAAGCGGGAGUGACGGUAAUGGGUGAAGAAGCACCGGCUAACUACGUG
RNAcentral lists this ribosomal RNA (468 nucleotides) under uncultured bacterium. RNAcentral describes it as "partial 16S ribosomal RNA". It matches the Rfam family "Bacterial small subunit ribosomal RNA", at positions 28 to 507 of the family's 1533-position model. The record is from RNAcentral.